CGGAGCUCGCAAGGGUGACGACGUACCUUUUGUAUAAUGGGUCUGCGACUUAGUCUGACGAGCAAGCUUAAGGCGAUAGCUGUAGGCGUAGCGAAAGCGAGUCUGAACAGGGCGUUCAGUUCGUCGGAUUAGACCCGAAACCUGUCGAUCUUGCCAUGGUCAGGUUGAAAAUGGGGUAACACCCACUGGAGGACCGAACCGGUGUCUGUUGAAAAAGCCUCGGAUGAACUGUGGCAAGGGGUGAAAGGCCAAUCAAGGCAGGAAAUAGCUGGUUCUCCGCGAAAUCUAUUUAGGUAGAGCCUCGGAUGAAUACUCGAGGGGGUAGAGCACUACAUGGGCUAGGGGUCCCCACAGGAUUACCAAACCUAAGUAAACUCCGAAUACCUCGAAGUACUAUCCGGGAGACACACGGCGGGUGCUAAUGUCCGUCGUGAAGAGGGAAACAACCCUGAUCGCCGUCUAAGGUCCCUAAAUCACUGCUAAGUGUGAAAGUAUGUGGAAAUCCCAUAACAACCAGGAUGUUGGCUUAGAAGCAGCCAUCAUUUAAAGAAAGCGUAACAGCUCACUGGUCUAAACAAGGGUUUCUGCGCCGAAAAUGUAACGGGGCUAAAGCAGUGUACCGAAGUCGCGGGUGUGCAGCAAUGCACGCGGUAGCGGAGCGUUCCGUAAGCCUGUGAAGGGAGACCCGUGAGGGCUCCCGGAGGUAUCGGAAGUGCGAAUGCAGACAUGAGUAACGAAAGGGGUGUGAGAAACACCCCCUCCGGAAGUCCAAGGGUUCCUGCGUAAAGUUAAUCUGCGCAGGGUUAGCCGGCCCCUAAGGCGAGGGCGAAAGCCGUAGUCGAUGGGAACCACGUUAAUAUUCGUGGGCCAGUGGGUGAGUGACGGAUGCAGCAAGUUGUCUUUCCUUAUUGGAUUGGAGAGGCUGCGAAUGUGCCCCAGGAAAUAGCCCCCACGUAGACCGUACCCGAAACCGACACAGGUGGACUGGUAGAGAAUACCAAGGAGCUUGAGAGAAGUGUGCUGAAGGAGUCGGCAAAUUACCUGCGUAACUUCGGGAGAAGCAGGCUGCUAAUCUGGGCAACCAGGAUAGCAGGACACAAACUAGGGGGUGGCGACUGUUUACCUAAAACACAGGGCUAUGCUAAGUCCAACGACGACGUAUAUGGCCUGACGCCUGCCCGGUGCUGGAGGUUAAGAGGAGAGCUGCAAGGCUUGAAUCGAAGCCCCAGUAAACGGCGGCCGUAACAAUAACGGUCCUAAGGUAGCGAAAUUCCUUGUCGGGUAAGUUCCGACCUGCACGAAUGGCGUAACGACUUCCCCACUGUCUCCAGCACACACUCAGUGAAAUUGAAUUCCCCGUGAAGAUGCGGGGUUCCUGCGGUUAGACGGAAAGACCCCGUGCACCUUUACUGCAACUUUGCACUGCC
This 1427-nucleotide ribosomal RNA is filed under the name metagenome. Its description in RNAcentral is "bacterial LSU rRNA". It matches the Rfam family "Bacterial large subunit ribosomal RNA", at positions 575 to 2121 of the family's 2925-position model. The record is from RNAcentral.